CCUACGGGUGGCAGCAGUGAGGAAUAUUGGUCAAUGGGCGCGAGCCUGAACCAGCCAAGUAGCGUGAAGGAUGACUGCCCUACGGGUUGUAAACUUCUUUUAUAAAGGAAUAAAGUGAGGCACGUGUGCCUUUUUGUAUGUACUUUAUGACUAAGGAUCGGCUAACUCCGUGCCAGCAGCCGCGGUAAUACGGAGGAUCCGAGCGUUAUCCGGAUUUAUUGGGUUUAACGGGAGCGUAGAUGGGUUGUUAAGUCAGUUGUGAAAGUUUGCGGCUCAACCGUAAAAUUGCAAUUGAUACUGGCAGUCUGGAGUACAGGUGAGGUAGGCGGAAUUCGUGGGGUAGCGGUGAAAUGCAUAGAUAUCACGCAGAACCCCGAUUGCGAAGGCAGCAUACCGGCGCCCUACUGACGCUGAGGCACGAAAGUGCGGGUAUCGAACAGGAUUAGAUACCCUGGUAGUC
RNAcentral lists this ribosomal RNA (460 nucleotides) under uncultured bacterium. RNAcentral's name for it is "partial 16S ribosomal RNA". It matches the Rfam family "Bacterial small subunit ribosomal RNA", at positions 338 to 795 of the family's 1533-position model. The record is from RNAcentral.